Homalodisca vitripennis (glassy-winged sharpshooter) is the source of this 1002-nucleotide long non-coding RNA. RefSeq lists it as uncharacterized. The record is from RefSeq and is a predicted model, not a curated record. Lineage: Eukaryota; Metazoa; Arthropoda; Insecta; Hemiptera; Cicadellidae. The transcript has 4 exons.
UAAUACACUGUAUUUUGAUCUUGGUGCUCACAGCCCACAACGCGGUGAAUUACGCUUCAGCUGCCUACGCAAUAUCUACAGUACCACCAUGUGAGUCUAAUAUACUAUAUAAUAUGGGAAGUGGUGAAUCAUUCGAUUCAAUUUUACUCAUAAAUAAUUAUAUUCAUUAGCCUCUGGAUCGUUUAAAGAAUGUGAUAAAAGAUACGAACUAUGAAACAACAGCUGGACAUAUUGAAACCCAACAUUGCAGACCCUGUGAACCUUGUACACAUUGUGAGCCAUGUGAUACUGAAGAGAACAAUCCUGCGGAAUGCAUAAAAAGUUAUCUAGUUGUGAGAAAUAAGGUUUCAUGGCAUGACGCAUUAAACGAAUGCAAGAAGCUUGGUCAACAGCUGGUGACGAUCCACAACAAUCAAGAGUGGGACGAAGUAAUAAAAGCUAUUGUUCAUUCCGGUCCCUUGACUACCUCAUUUUGGACGUCAGGUUUCAACCUUAAUCAAGGAACUUGGACUUGGGCUUCGACCUGGAAGCCAUUUAACGUCACAAAGUGGGAUGAUAAUCAACCAUGCAACGAUGACGAACAUAAAUGCGUCAUGACUACGUGGGAACAUCCAUAUGCAUUUCAUUGGUAUGCUUAUAAAUGUACAAUUUUGUACUUCUAUAUAUGUGAGAAAUGUGUGAACUAAUCGUAGCAGUCUAUAGAUUAUUUAGUUACGAACAUAGAGGUAGUAAAUGUAACCAAAACCUCAAAACAAUAAGUGCUAUUCUAUUUAACAACGACCAUAAUUACCACAGCGUAAUAAGUACUAAAUCGCCUCAUAUUUUCCUCCAUUGGGCAGCUCACCUAACACAAUUUAAGUUAUAAAUGCAUUUAACACCAAAGCUUUGUAUAAAAUAAGUGAGAAAUCAUAACUAGUUUGCUAAAUGUUAUUAAUAACGUUUGACGAUUUAAACACAUAACAUGAUUGUGACAUGUGAAAUGACUGGCGAAGUAUAAAGAAA